Molecule: transfer RNA, 91 nt
Filed under: candidate division WS1 bacterium
Lineage: Bacteria; Bacillati
Description: tRNA-Ser
Rfam family: tRNA
About the family: Transfer RNA (tRNA) molecules are approximately 80 nucleotides in length. Their secondary structure includes four short double-helical elements and three loops (D, anti-codon, and T loops).
Source: RNAcentral
GGAGAGGUGGCUGAGUGGAUGAAAGCGCACGACUCGAAAUCGUGUAACGGGCGACCCCCGUUCGUGGGUUCGAAUCCCACCCUCUCCGCCA